Molecule: ribosomal RNA, 323 nt
Filed under: Salmonella enterica
Lineage: Bacteria; Pseudomonadati; Pseudomonadota; Gammaproteobacteria; Enterobacterales; Enterobacteriaceae
Description: partial 23S ribosomal RNA
Rfam family: Bacterial large subunit ribosomal RNA
Source: RNAcentral
CGUUGGGUAGGGGAGCGUUCUGUAAGCCUGUGAAGGUGUGUCGUGAGGCAUGCUGGAGGUAUCAGAAGUGCGAAUGCUGACAUAAGUAACGAUAAAGCGGGUGAAAAGCCCGCUCGCCGGAAGACCAAGGGUUCCUGUCCAACGUUAAUCGGGGCAGGGUGAGUCGACCCCUAAGGCGAGGCCGAAAGGCGUAGUCGAUGGGAAACGGGUUAAUAUUCCCGUACUUGGUGUUACUGCGAAGGGGGGACGGAGAAGGCUAUGUUGGCCGGGCGACGGUUGUCCCGGUUUAAGCGUGUAGGUGUGUGUUCCAGGUAAAUCCGGUU